RNAcentral lists this ribosomal RNA (276 nucleotides) under Leptolyngbya sp. HS26. RNAcentral describes it as "partial 16S ribosomal RNA". It matches the Rfam family "Bacterial small subunit ribosomal RNA", at positions 517 to 792 of the family's 1533-position model. The record is from RNAcentral. Lineage: Bacteria; Bacillati; Cyanobacteriota; Cyanophyceae; Leptolyngbyales; Leptolyngbyaceae.
GCGGUAAGACGGAGGAUGCAAGCGUUAUCCGGAAUUAUUGGGCGUAAAGCGUCCGUAGGCGGUUUAUCAAGUCUGCCGUUAAAGACUGCAGCUUAACUGUGGAUGAGCGGUGGAAACUGAUUAACUAGAGUACGGUAGGGGUAGAGGGAAUUCCCAGUGUAGCGGUGAAAUGCGUAGAUAUUGGGAAGAACACCAGUGGCGAAGGCGCUCUGCUGGGCCGUAACUGACGCUGAGGGACGAAAGCUAGGGGAGCGAAAGGGAUUAGAUACCCCUGUA